RNAcentral lists this ribosomal RNA (253 nucleotides) under uncultured bacterium. Its description in RNAcentral is "partial 16S ribosomal RNA". It matches the Rfam family "Bacterial small subunit ribosomal RNA", at positions 524 to 776 of the family's 1533-position model. The record is from RNAcentral.
UACGUAGGGUGCUAGCGUUGUUCGGAAUCAUUGGGCGUAAAGCGCGUGUAGGUGGUCAUCUAAGUCGAGUGUGAAAGCCCUGGGCUCAACCCGGGAAGUGCAUCCGAAACUAGUUGACUAGAAGACAUUAGAGGAAGGUGGAAUUCCAAGUGUAGAGGUGAAAUUCGUAGAUAUUUGGAGGAAUACCGGCGGCGAAGGCGGCCUUCUGGGAUGCUCUUGACACUGAGACGCGAAAGCGUGGGUAGCAAACAGG